Molecule: ribosomal RNA, 1913 nt
Filed under: Orbilia oligospora
Lineage: Eukaryota; Fungi; Ascomycota; Orbiliomycetes; Orbiliales; Orbiliaceae
Description: SSU rRNA
Rfam family: Bacterial small subunit ribosomal RNA
Source: RNAcentral
AUUAAGUUGAGUUUGAUGAUGGCUCUGAAUGAACGCUAUUCAAAUGCCUGACACAUGCUAAUCGUACGUUUGUAGUUUAACAAUUGUUAACUACAAAAGUGGUGUACAGGUGAGUAAAUGGUGAAUUGGUUACCUUAAAGUGAGGGAUAAAAUACCUUAUAACAAAAGGAGUAAUCUGCUUUAAGAUAUUAGUUGUAUCUCGGGUAGGUAGUAGGAGAGGUAAUUGCUCAACUAGCCUAAUAUCCCGUAGUCGAGGCUGAAAGGUCGAUCGACCACAUUGGAUAUGAACAAAAUUCAAUGCAUGAUAGUACAGCAGUGAGGGAUAUUGGUCAAUAGCCGAAAGGCUGAACCAGCAAUUUGAAAGAAUGGCCUUCCGGUCUUAGCCGGUUUGAGGGGGGAUAGAUUAUAUGUAAGAAAUUAUGUAUAAAGGGGUCCAAGCCUUAGGUCAAAAGCCUAGGAUUAAAGUUCUGAAUAGAAUAAUGAUAAUGACAAUUUUCUAAUUCAAGUGUCUUGACAAAUUCAUGUGCCAGCAGUCGCGGUAAUACAUGAUAGACUAGUGUUAUUCAUCUUUAAUGGGUUUAAAGGGUACCUAGACGGAAGUUCAAGCCUGCGAGGGGACUGAAUUUCUAGAGUUUUAUGUGAGAAGGGGAGUACUACUGAUGGAGAGAUGAAAUUUGAUGAUAUCUUUAGGACUGGUAAAGGCGAAGGCAACCUUUUAAGUAAAAACUGACGUUGAGGGACGAAGGCUUAGGUCACGAACAGGAUUAGAUACCCUAGUAGUCUUUGCAGAAAACGCUGAAUGCUAUAGGUUAGAAUUAAAAUUUUUGCCUAUAAAUGAAAAUGUAAGCAUUCCACCUCAAGAGUAAUUCGGCAACGUAGAAACUGAAAUCAUUAGACCGUUUCUUGAAACCAGUAGUGAAGUAUGUUAUUUAAUUCGAUGAUCCACGAAAAAUCUUACCAUAACUUGAAUAGCUGGUAAAAUAUAAAAAUUAUAAUUAUUUUAUAAACGAGUUAUUAAACCUGUCCUAAAAAAGGAAUACAGGAUAAUAAAUAACAGAUAAAAUUUAUCAUAUGAAUUUAUUUCAAAUAAGUAAAUAAGUCAUAUAUACCUUUGCUACAGGUGUUGCACGGCUGUCUUAAGUUAAUGUCGUGAGAUCAUGGUUAGAUCCAACAAUUAGCGUAAGCCCUUAGUUUAUUUAAAAAAAUAUAAAUUAUUAAUAUAUUUAUUAUAAAAAUAUUUAUUAUAAAAAUAUAUUAAGCAAAUAUUUUAAAUAUUUAAAUGUUUAAUGUUUUUAAUAAAUUUAAUAUUAGGAAUAAGAAGAGUAAUAUUUUAAAUAUUUAGGAACAUUAGGGAGGAAUGUUUUUAAUAUUUAGGAAUAUUUAGGAAAAGGUAAUAUUUUGAUGUACAAUAUUAAAUUUAAGAAAUAUUUUUAAUGUUUAGUAUUAAAUUAUUUGUAUUUAUAAAUAAAUAAAUUAGUUCACUAAGAAAAUGGCGUGUGAUAACCGGGAAUAAGACAAGUCAUCAUGGCCCUUCUAUCGUAAAAAAGUUAAUGUUAUGGGCUAUAGACGUGCCACAUAUGCCUUGACAAAGGGAUGCAAAAAUGUGAGUUUUAGCUAAUCCUACAAAAAAAGGAAAUAAAAAAAUGGAUUGUAGUCUGAAAUUCGACUACAUGAAAAAGAAAUUACUAGUAAUCGUGUAUCACAAUGGCACGGUGAAUCUUAUCUCAGAUUGGUACUAACCACUCGUCAGGCGCUGAAAAUUGUGAGUGCAAUAAGUUUGGGGGAUUCAAAUAAAAAGUAUAAGCAACUGGGCUUAUGGCAUUUGAGAAUCUUUCUUCGUAUGCACAGCUUUGAUUAGUGUUAAGUCGAAAUAUGGUUCGUGUAGCGGAAGUUGCACGGGAAUGAUUAAUUAU